AACGGCCGUACCAUGCUAAAUAUACCGGUUCUCGUUAGAUCACCGAAGUCAAGCAUCAUUGGGCGCGGUCAGUACUUGGGUGGGUGACCACCUGGGAACACCGCGGGCCGUU
RNAcentral lists this ribosomal RNA (112 nucleotides) under Caerostris darwini. Lineage: Eukaryota; Metazoa; Arthropoda; Arachnida; Araneae; Araneidae. The record is from RNAcentral.